UACGGAGGGACUAGCGUUAUCCGGAGUUACUGGGCGUAAAGGGCGUGUAGGCGGAUCGGUAAGUCUACUCUGAAAGCUCCUGGCUAAACUGGGAGAGGCGAGUGGAGACUGUCGGUCUAGAGUGAGGAAGAGGAAAGUGGAAUUCCGCGUGUAGUGGUGAAAUGCGUAGAGAUGCGGAGGAACACCAGUGGCGAAAGCGGCUUUCUGGUCCUUAACUGAC
Molecule: ribosomal RNA, 220 nt
Filed under: uncultured bacterium
Lineage: Bacteria
Description: partial 16S ribosomal RNA
Rfam family: Bacterial small subunit ribosomal RNA
Source: RNAcentral